Molecule: unclassified non-coding RNA, 306 nt
Filed under: plant metagenome
Description: partial contains 5.8S ribosomal RNA, internal transcribed spacer 2, and large subunit ribosomal RNA
Rfam family: 5.8S ribosomal RNA (bases 1-105)
Source: RNAcentral
GAAAUGCGAUAAGUAAUGUGAAUUGCAGAAUUCAGUGAAUCAUCGAAUCUUUGAACGCACAUUGCGCCCGCCAGUAUUCUGGCGGGCAUGCCUGUCCGAGCGUCAUUUCAACCAUCAAGCCCCCGGGCUUGUGUUGGGGACCUGCGGCUGCCCGCAGGCCCUGAAAACCAGUGGCGGGCUCGCUGUCACACCGAGCGUAGUAGCAAUCACCUCGCUCAGGGCGUGCUGCGGGUUCCGGCCGUUAAACAGCCUUACAAAACCCAAAGUUGACCUCGGAUCAGGUAGGAAGACCCGCUGAACUUAAGC